AGUGAACGCUGGCGGUAGGCCUAACACAUGCAAGUCGAACGGCAGCACAGUAAGAGCUUGCUCUUGCGGGUGGCGAGUGGCGGACGGGUGAGGAAUACAUCGGAAUCUACUUUUUCGUGGGGGAUAACGUAGGGAAACUUACGCUAAUACCGCAUACGACCUACGGGUGAAAGCAGGGGAUCUUCGGACCUUGCGCGAUUGAAUGAGCCGAUGUCGGAUUAGCUAGUUGGCGGGGUAAAGGCCCACCAAGGCGACGAUCCGUAGCUGGUCUGAGAGGAUGAUCAGCCACACUGGAACUGAGACACGGUCCAGACUCCUACGGGAGGCAGCAGUGGGGAAUAUUGGACAAUGGGCGCAAGCCUGAUCCAGCCAUACCGCGUGGGUGAAGAAGGCCUUCGGGUUGUAAAGCCCUUUGUUGGGAAAGAAAAGCAGCAGGUUAAUACCCCGCUGUUCUGACGGUACCCAAAGAAUAAGCACCGGCUAACUUCGU
This 490-nucleotide ribosomal RNA is filed under the name uncultured bacterium. Its description in RNAcentral is "partial 16S ribosomal RNA". It matches the Rfam family "Bacterial small subunit ribosomal RNA", at positions 29 to 506 of the family's 1533-position model. The record is from RNAcentral.